AGUGGGUAGUCCGCACGAGCGCACCUUACUUUUAGUUGCCAUCAUUUAGUUGGGCACUCUGAAAGAACUGCCAGUGAUAAGCUGGAGGAAGGUGGGGAUGACGUCAAGUCCUCAUGGCCCUUACGUGUUGGGCUACACACGUGCUACAGUGGUAUCUACAACAGGAAGCAAAACAGCGAUGUUAAGCAAAUCCCGAAAAGAUACCUCAGUUCGGAUUGCACUCUGCAACUCGAGUGCAUGAAGCUGGAAUUACUAGUAAUCGUGGAUCAGCGUGCCACGGUGAAUACGUUCCCGGGUCUUGUACACACCGCCCGUCACACCAUGGGAGUUGGUUCUACCUUAAGGCAAAGCUUAAAACCUUUGACCACGGUAUAGUCAGCGACUGGGGUGAAGUCGUAACAAGGUAGCCGUAGGGGAACCUGCGGCUGGAUUACCUCCUUUCU
RNAcentral lists this ribosomal RNA (443 nucleotides) under uncultured Pelagibacterales bacterium. RNAcentral describes it as "bacterial SSU rRNA". It matches the Rfam family "Bacterial small subunit ribosomal RNA", at positions 1074 to 1533 of the family's 1533-position model. The record is from RNAcentral. Lineage: Bacteria; Pseudomonadati; Pseudomonadota; Alphaproteobacteria; Candidatus Pelagibacterales.